UGACUACCUGGAAAGUCCAUCUUCUGAA
Molecule: small RNA, 28 nt
Filed under: Bombyx mori (domestic silkworm)
Lineage: Eukaryota; Metazoa; Arthropoda; Insecta; Lepidoptera; Bombycidae
Description: piRNA piR-bmo-1697773
Source: RNAcentral